UUCACACGCCGCACACCCACAAUCGUUUUCUCCCUCUCUCCUCUCUCUCGCCAGAUCCAAUCCAGCGUCUCACGUCUUCUCUCUUCCUGGGCAAAACACAGCUCUGCCCUUCUCUUCGUUCACUACCGUCGCUGACGCCCUCCGCCGCCUCUCUCCCUCUCUUCGUGCACCACCGUCGCCAACGCCCUCCACCGCUCCGUGCCCUCUCUUCGUCCACCGCCGUCGCCGACGCCGUCGCCGCCAUCAAAUCGUCGAGCAAGGACGCUUUGCCCAAGUUUCCGACUCCGAUCUCUUCGUCUAUUACUACAGGCCCUGCGGCUCCUAUGUCCUUUCACCGGUAAUUUUAUUUAACCUUAAACUCCCAUUUUUUUUCUAUUACAUGAAUCGUUUUCAUCUUUUGACUUUCAACUCCACUUUUGAAUAAAUUUGUUCGAUUGUGGAUGUUCCAUAUUUUUUUUAUUUGUUUGUUUGAGUUGUUAUUCGACUCUAAUUCUUCGACUCAAUUGAUAUUUGUUUCGUGUUUCAUCGAGUUAUUUGUAUGUGUGUUUUUUAGUGGGUAAUGUUGAUUAUUGUUUCAAUAAUGUUGAUUACUGUUUCAAUAAUGUUGAUUACUGUUUCAAUACUGAUUAAUGUUGAUUACCGAUUAGAGUCUAAUAUAAAAGUGAACAAUAAUAAGUUGAUUACCCACUCUAGCAUAAAUAUGUUAUAGUGAUUUAUCCCCACUCUUCUACCUCUAUUGAAAGACACGGACUCUCAACACUUGAAUUUGGUAAAUACCAUUGAACAUGUUCUUGGAGCCUUUAUGGCUUACAACAACCCAACUGUUGCUCUUUUUCGAGAUUUGGGUGGUCUAAAUGAUAUCAUAUCACACCUAAUGCUAGACACCUCGUGUAUGGUUCCGUAUAUUUUGAAUAUAUAUGAAGAUUUAACUAUAGAUAAUUAUAGUCAUAUAUAGUCACAUGUAGUCACAUGUAGUAAGAUAUAGUAAUAUAUAGUGACAUGUAGUAACAUAUGCACACGAUUGUGUAUUUCCUCUGCAUUUGUUGGUUGUGAGUUGAUUUAUAAUAUAAAUAUUUAAAUUGAACUUGAUUUUUUGUCACAGGUUUUGUGUUUGCACAACUUAUAUGCACCAAGUUUUUGCCGAGAGGACACGGUGUUCUUCAAUUCGAAACAACUUUUUUGCAUUCGAUAGAUCGGAGCUGUUGUCGGGUUGAAAUGUGGGAUUUGAAGAUAUAAAUCCAAAUUACACUAUAUACGACUAUACUCGUAUUUACUCAAAAAUAAGAAAAAGACUAUACUCAUAUAGUUAGUCAUAUGUAGUUAUAUAUAGUCACAUAUGGUCAUAUACAUGUAGUCAUAUGUAGUUAUAUAUAGUCACAUAUAGUCAUAUACAUGUAGUCAUAUGUAGUUAUAUAUAGUCACAUAUGGUCAUAUACAUGUAGUCAUAUGUAGUUAUAUAUAGUCACAUAUGGUCAUAUACAUGUAGUCAUAUGUAGUUAUAUAUAGUCACAUAUGGUCAUAUACAUGUAGUCAUAUAUAGUCACG
Molecule: long non-coding RNA, 1545 nt
Filed under: Erythranthe guttata (spotted monkey flower)
Lineage: Eukaryota; Viridiplantae; Streptophyta; Magnoliopsida; Lamiales; Phrymaceae
Description: long non-coding RNA (EGUT_LNC003762)
Source: RNAcentral